This 253-nucleotide ribosomal RNA is filed under the name uncultured bacterium. RNAcentral's name for it is "partial 16S ribosomal RNA". It matches the Rfam family "Bacterial small subunit ribosomal RNA", at positions 524 to 776 of the family's 1533-position model. The record is from RNAcentral.
UACGUAGGGUGCAAGCGUUAAUCGGAAUUACUGGGCGUAAAGGGUGCGUAGGCGGUUGUUUAAGUCUGUUGUGAAAUCCCCGGGCUCAACCUGGGAAUGGCAAUGGAUACUGGGCAGCUAGAGUGUGUCAGAGGAUGGUGGAAUUCCCGGUGUAGCGGUGAAAUGCGUAGAGAUCGGGAGGAACAUCAGUGGCGAAGGCGGCCAUCUGGGACAACACUGACGCUGAAGCACGAAAGCGUGGGGAGCAAACAGG